AAAUUUGCAAAGGUCAAUAUAAGAUUGAUAUUCCAAAGAACUAAAUACUUCUACAUAUGUUUCUACUUGUAAGAAAAAAUAAUAAGCAAGUCAUUAAUUAUAUUCUAAUCCUACUAGUUAUAACUUUUGAAUAGUCUGAUCUUCCAAUAGUACUUGUAUUGAAGCAAUGGUUCAAUUAUGCAUGUUCAUCCUGACAAAUAAAAGAUAAAAUAUAAUUAUAAUUUGACAAAGUAAGUUAUAAAAUACACAAAUAUAAAAUCUAAAAAGCAGAGAUAUUCACAUGAAUGCACUCACUAAUACACCCAAACACACUUUAAUCUCCUGAUAAAUCUCCUUAUUUCAUUUGAAAAUGACCAAAAUCAGAGACACUAUAAAUUAUGUACCGAAGAGAGAGUGAGAUGUUCCAGAUUUGGCAAAGGAUAUCUGUUCACUUCCUUCAACCCCAAGAAUGUCACAAAAAUAAAAGGAAGUAAAAAGUAAUCUUAAUCUCCUGGAAUAAUUUUCUGAAAUAAACUUUUAAAACAGUUUCCAGCUUCCUGGAGACUUCCUCUUUCCCUUUUUAUCAAACCUGACCAAGAGCAUUGAUUGAGUUUAAAAAGAGAUAAUAGCUGAAUGUGAAAUCACAAGAAGAACUCUCUAUGUGUAGUGAUUUUUAAUCCAUCAAAACUCUUCUUGUUGACAAUCAACUUCCUGGUGGCAUACUACUCUCCAAAUCAGAUGCAAACAAUAUCUCAUCAAAAGAAGUGGAUCUAAGACAACCACCCAUCAUAUUUAUUAUUUCAAGGCUAGACAAUUUCUAGAAAAAUCCUUGGCCGAUACUACUCUCCAAAUCAUGCGGGCAUAUUUAAUAACCUCAGAUUUGUUAACUUGUUCAUUCCUAUCGGCAGAAAAAGAUUACCAAUAUCUGGUAACUCUUUCAACUCAUUGCAAUUUUGUAGUAUUAGAGAUCGUAGUUGACAUAAACUAUUGAUGGAAGAAGGCAGUGCUCUAAUACCAGUAUGACUCAGAUUCACAACUCUUAGAGCUGAAAAUGCGAAACAAGAGAUAUUUAGGCAACAUACCUCAGUUGAUUUCUU
Molecule: long non-coding RNA, 1076 nt
Filed under: Solanum tuberosum (potato)
Lineage: Eukaryota; Viridiplantae; Streptophyta; Magnoliopsida; Solanales; Solanaceae
Description: long non-coding RNA (STUB_LNC002580)
Source: RNAcentral